This 427-nucleotide ribosomal RNA is filed under the name uncultured bacterium. Its description in RNAcentral is "bacterial SSU rRNA". It matches the Rfam family "Bacterial small subunit ribosomal RNA", at positions 355 to 774 of the family's 1533-position model. The record is from RNAcentral.
UGGGGAAUUUUGGACAAUGGGGGCAACCCUGAUCCAGCCAUCCCGCGUGUGCGAUGAAGGCCUUCGGGUUGUAAAGCACUUUUGGCAGGGAAGAAACAGCCUGGGCUAAUAUCCCGGGCGACUGACGGUACCUGCAGAAUAAGCAUCGGCUAACUACGUGCCAGCAGCCGCGGUAAUACGUAGGGUGCAAGCGUUAAUCGGAAUUACUGGGCGUAAAGCGUGCGCAGGCGGUUCGGAAAGAAAGGUGUGAAAUCCCAGGGCUUAACCUUGGAACUGCACUUUUAACUACCGGGCUAGAGUACGUCAGAGGGGGGUAGAAUUCCACGUGUAGCAGUGAAAUGCGUAGAGAUGUGGAGGAAUACCGAUGGCGAAGGCAGCCCCCUGGGAUAAUACUGACGCUCAUGCACGAAAGCGUGGGGAGCAAACA